AGCAGUGAAAGGAGGAGAGAAGGAGAGAAAAACAAAAGUGCCUUUUGAAGGAAGAAGCCACUCUGAGUCUGGAGUGAGGUGACUCAUGGAAAAGAUCUUUUCCCAGAGAGCCAGUAAAAGGCCACAGAUGCAGCUGAAGAGGCAGUGGUACCCACGUGGACAUAUUAUAGAUACCACCUAAAACCUACCUGACCACACGAACAGAAAAGAAAGCAUGUCCACUGGCCAAAGUGUUCAAGCCUGCG
This 245-nucleotide long non-coding RNA is filed under the name Sus scrofa (pig). RNAcentral describes it as "lncRNA (ENSSSCG00070016141.1)". The record is from RNAcentral. Lineage: Eukaryota; Metazoa; Chordata; Mammalia; Artiodactyla; Suidae.